GCCGCUGUAGCUCAGCUGGUAGAGCGCCGGCCUCGUAUCGUGGAGUGAGAGCCGGUGGUCGCGGGUUCAAAUCCCGCCGGCGGCU
RNAcentral lists this transfer RNA (85 nucleotides) under Metallosphaera yellowstonensis MK1. It matches the Rfam family "tRNA". From Rfam's summary of the family: Transfer RNA (tRNA) molecules are approximately 80 nucleotides in length. Their secondary structure includes four short double-helical elements and three loops (D, anti-codon, and T loops). The record is from Rfam by way of RNAcentral. Lineage: Archaea; Thermoproteati; Thermoproteota; Thermoprotei; Sulfolobales; Sulfolobaceae.